UGGGGAAUUUUGGACAAUGGGCGAAAGCCUGAUGCAGCAACGCCGCGUGAGUGAUGAAGGCCUUCGGGUUGUAAAGCUCUGUCUUUUGGGACGAUAAUGACGGUACCAAAGGAGGAAGCCACGGCUAACUACGUGCCAGCAGCCGCGGUAAUACGUAGGUGGCAAGCGUUGUCCGGAAUUAUUGGGCGUAAAGAGCGCGUAGGCGGGAUAGUCAGUCUGUUGUAAAAGUGCGGGGCUCAACCCCGUGAUCGCAAUGGAAACAGCUAUUCUUGAGUGCAGGAGAGGAAAGUGGAAUUCCCAGUGUAGCGGUGAAAUGCGUAGAUAUUGGGAGGAACACCAGUGGCGAAGGCGACUUUCUGGACUGUGUCUGACGCUGAGGCGCGAAAGCCAGGGGAGCGGAACGGGAUUAGAUACCCCGGUAGGUCCUGGCCGUAAACGAUGGGUACUAGGUGUGGGGGGUAUCGACCCCUUCCGUGCCGGAGUUAACGCAAUAAGUACCCCGCCUGGGGGAGUACGGUCGCAAGACUGAAACUCAAAUGAAUUGACGGGGUCAU
RNAcentral lists this ribosomal RNA (554 nucleotides) under uncultured bacterium. RNAcentral describes it as "partial 16S ribosomal RNA". It matches the Rfam family "Bacterial small subunit ribosomal RNA", at positions 355 to 922 of the family's 1533-position model. The record is from RNAcentral.